GGAUAUCCUCCAUUCUUGGCAUCUGCAAUUUAAAAUGAAAAAUAGAACAAUAUGAUGAUUUAAUCAAAUCAAACGAAAGAUGCAUAGAACAACCUUUUCUUUUGCAUUCACUAGUAGGGUUCGUAAAAAGAAUUAUUUUCAUUGUAAUCCUAAAAAAUAUCAGGAAUAAAAAUGCACCUAAUUCAGAAAUUUUAGUGAAUAAAUAAAAAAUCAUAGGGAAAAAGUAUUUAUGGUUAGCAUUAUUUCAUUUAUUUUCCAUACAAAUUAGAAGGUUAACUCAGGUGGUCAGACCAGAACAAAACAUCACACUAGGUCUCCCAAAUCUAGAAGAACUUGGCACAACUAAUACUCAACUUUUAAUAUUGCACAUUAUACAAAAGUUUGAGCAGACAUUGCAAAGAAAAUGUUAUGACUAAUAAGGAGAAU
Molecule: unclassified non-coding RNA, 426 nt
Filed under: Hevea brasiliensis (rubber tree)
Lineage: Eukaryota; Viridiplantae; Streptophyta; Magnoliopsida; Malpighiales; Euphorbiaceae
Source: RNAcentral